Long non-coding RNA from Apis cerana (Asiatic honeybee), 1412 nucleotides. RefSeq lists it as uncharacterized. NCBI's taxonomy places the organism in Eukaryota, Metazoa, Arthropoda, Insecta, Hymenoptera, Apidae. The record is from RefSeq and is a predicted model, not a curated record.
CUUCUAAUGUAGCCAAUACAUUUUCUACAUCUCUGUCAUAACUAAUUAACACAAUAAAAAAAUGAAAUGAAAUUAUUGAAUGAAAUAUUUUAUAUCAAAUAAUAUUGAAUUGAAAAUUAUAAAAUAACUUACUGUGAAUAUUAAUAAGACUGCUGAAUGUGACAGCAGCAAAAUCCAAAAUAUAUUUUUCUGAAAUAUUUGUAUUUGUAUGUUCUAAUAUAAUUAAUAGUUUACAACAUUGUACACUCGUAUUAACAUUACAAUGUUGCAAUUUUAACAAAAUUGUGUCACCCAUUGUGUUAAUAUUGAUAUCAAAUAAGGUAAAUGAGCUUCUUGCCAUGAAAUUUUUAUACCAUAUGUUAAUUCUUGAAGUAAUUUUAAUACUCGUAUUCUUUUUUCACUUGUUAAAUUUGCCUAUAAAAUUAUUAUACAAAAAUAUAUUAUAUAAAUAUUAAGAUAUUAAUAUGUUUAAAAUUUUGAUGUUUUAUAUUAGAAUUUCAUAAAAUAAAAUAUUUAAAAUAUAAAAAUUAAAAAAAAUUUAAUAUUUCUAAUUAUUGAAAUAAAAAAAUUUUAUAAAUGAAAAAUAUGAACCUCAAAUAAAAAAAAUAAAAUAAAUAUAUUUCUAUAUUUUCUAUUAUAUUAUUGUAUUAUAUUUCAUUUAUCAUUUAAUAUAUAAAUAAAAAUAUAUACCUCUAAUAAUCUUGCCAAUAUAGGUGCAAAUUUAUAUGUAUGAAUAAGAGCUUGUCUUGCUGCAGCAUUGCGACAAGCAUUUUGUAAAACAUCAACAGUACUCCAAAUUAAAGUAGUUCUAGAUACUAAAGAAUUCAUAAGCUCAUGCAAACUAACAUAAAAUUCUGCUGCUAUGCUGGUUCCAGGAUCAAAGAUACUCAAAUCUAAUGAUGUGCUUAUUACCUUUCAAAUAAAUUUUGUAAAAAAAUAUUUUACAUUAAUUAAAUCUUUUUGUUCCAAUAUUUUAUGUAAUAUUAAAUAUAUUAAAAUAUUUUAUCAAAAUUAUUAAAAUUUACUAUUUUAUUUAAUAAUUAAAAUUUAUUUUUAUCAUACAGAUUAGAAAUAUGAAAAACAGAAUUUUAAAAUUUAAAAUAAUAAUUUAUAAUAAUUACUUACACCAAGAUUUCUUUGUAAAAUUGAAGCUGUUGUUUCACUAGGAUGUUUAGUAUAUUCCAAAACCGCCGAUAUAAAUGUUCUUAUAUGUUGAUACUUGUCCAUUGUAUUUAAUUUAAUUUAAUAAUUGUAUAAUUUUGAAUUUUAAUAUAAAUCUAAUUAACAUUAAAAUUGACAAAAAAAGGAAAUUUUUAUAUGUAAAUUACAAAUAUAAUUUUAAUUUAUUAUCUUAUCAAUGAAAUAUUUUAUAAAAUAAAAUAAUGUAUAUAUGUAUACAUAUGCAAUGUAAA